Molecule: long non-coding RNA, 882 nt
Filed under: Amborella trichopoda
Lineage: Eukaryota; Viridiplantae; Streptophyta; Magnoliopsida; Amborellales; Amborellaceae
Description: long non-coding RNA (ATRI_LNC004085)
Source: RNAcentral
UACACUGUAAACAAUUCCAACCCCAAAGGCAAAAUUAAACAAACAAACUAAAAGUUGCAUCAGUGUCAGCUCUUAAGGUAGUUUACAUAAAGGCCGAAGAGGGAGCGACAUUGUGCGGUGGUGUUGCAUAAUAGCCAGGAGAUGAAUUGCUGACCUAUGCCUCCAACUCAUCCUCCUCUUCGUCUCCUUUGGUUGCUUCCUAGCCUUGAAAAGGAGGGAGUUCGAAAAGGGAUUGAUGAUGAUGGUGUUGGAGAUGAAAAACCUGCCCAAAAAAACCAACAAAAUAAUGGAAAAAAACCCCACCAAAACAGGUGAAAAUGGAGAAUGAAACCAUACAAAUGCCCAAAAGAAAAGAAAAAAAAAAAAAGGAAAAAUCACAAAGUAAUGUGAAAAUGGAGAGUAAUGUCAUAUCAAUGCCAUAAAUAAGGGGAAAGUAAUGAAGGCAACUACUAUAUAAACAGGGAAAAGGGCAAAAAAAGUAGUAUACGUUGAAAUUAAGGAAAAAAAAAAAACAAAUCCUCUGAAAAAACCUAGUAAAAUAAGGGAAUGGGAAGGGUGGAAAGAGAUAUGGCAGGGGAAAAAAGAGAAGCUGUAGCAGAAAAAAAAAGACAACCCCGAACUCACUCCAUAAUGACAGAAAAUGGAGAAAAUAAAUCAAAAUUAAUAAAAACAAAAAGAUGAAAACAAAAGCAAGACAAAAACGGGAGAAACUGAUGAAAAUGAAAAAAAUGUGAGGAGAGAGACCAACUGGGGGUGCUUGGAGGGGUGGAAUCGCGAGCCAUGGAUGAUCACAGGACAACCAGAGUAGAGAGAGAGAAAGAUGAGUAGGGGCUUUGAGCUUUUAGACGGGAAAAGGGUUUGGCGGUAAAAUGCACGUUUUUC